Molecule: ribosomal RNA, 259 nt
Filed under: uncultured bacterium
Lineage: Bacteria
Description: partial 16S ribosomal RNA
Rfam family: Bacterial small subunit ribosomal RNA
Source: RNAcentral
UACGAAGGGGGCUAGCGUUGCUCGGAAUCACUGGGCGUAAAGCGCACGUAGGCGGACUUUUAAGUCAGGGGUGAAAUCCUGGAGCUCAACUCCAGAACUGCCUUUGAUACUGAAGAUCUUGAGUUCGGGAGAGGUGAGUGGAACUGCGAGUGUAGAGGUGAAAUUCGUAGAUAUUCGCAAGAACACCAGUGGCGAAGGCGGCUCACUGGCCCGAUACUGACGCUGAGGCACGAAAGCGUGGGGAGCAAACAGGAUUAGA